RNAcentral lists this ribosomal RNA (405 nucleotides) under uncultured bacterium. RNAcentral's name for it is "partial 16S ribosomal RNA". It matches the Rfam family "Bacterial small subunit ribosomal RNA", at positions 30 to 526 of the family's 1533-position model. The record is from RNAcentral.
AUUGAACGCUGGCGGCAGGCUUAACACAUGCAAGUCGAACGAGUGGCGGAAGGGUGUGUAAUGCUUGGGAAUCUAGCUUAUGGAGGGGUAUCACUACGGAACACUGUCGCUAAUACCGCGUACCAUAGUAUGCGCCCAAGUGGGAUUAGGUAGUUGGUGAGGUAAAGGCUCACCAAGACCACGAUCUCUAGCUGGUCUGAGAGGAUGACCAGCCACACUGGGACUGAGAAACGGCCCAGAUUCCUACGGGAGGCAUCAGUGGGGAAUAUUGCGCAAUGGGGGCAACCUGACGCAGCCAUGCCGCGUGAAUGAAGAAGGCCUUCGGGUUGUAAAGUUCUUUCGGUAGCGAGGCGUUAACUACAGAAGAAGCACCGGCUAACUCCGUGCCAGCAGCCGCGGUAAUAC